GACAGAGGGUGCAAACGUUGUUCGGAAUUACUGGGCGUAAAGCGCAUGUAGGCGGCCAAGCAGGUCGGAUGUGAAAUCCCUCGGCUCAACCAAGGAAGUGCAUUCGAAACCGCAUGGCUAGAGUCCCGGAGAGGAAGGUGGAAUUCUCGGUGUAGAGGUGAAAUUCGUAGAUAUCGAGAGGAACACCGGUGGCGAAGGCGGCCUUCUGGACGAGGACUGACGCUGAGAUGCGAAAGCGUGGGGAGCAAACAGG
This 253-nucleotide ribosomal RNA is filed under the name uncultured bacterium. RNAcentral's name for it is "partial 16S ribosomal RNA". It matches the Rfam family "Bacterial small subunit ribosomal RNA", at positions 524 to 776 of the family's 1533-position model. The record is from RNAcentral.